This 63-nucleotide transfer RNA is filed under the name Postharmostomum commutatum. RNAcentral's name for it is "tRNA-Ala". Lineage: Eukaryota; Metazoa; Platyhelminthes; Trematoda; Diplostomida; Brachylaimidae. The record is from RNAcentral.
AACGAUGUAGUUUAUGUAGAAUGGGUACUCUGCAAGUAUCAGGUGAGGAAUACUCCGUUGUUG